GUACACGCUGUGACUAGCAUAUCAAUAAGCGGAGGAAAAGAAACUAACAAGGAUUCCCCUAGUAACGGCGAGUGAAGCGGGAAGAGCUCAAAUUUGAAAUCUUAAAGGGUUUCCCUUUACGAAUUGUAGUUUAAAGAAGUGUUUUCUGUUGAGGUUUUGGUAAAAGUUCUUUAGAAUAGGACAUCAUAGAGGGUGAGAAUCCCGUAUUUGACCUUUACUUUCAACUUUGUGAUACACUUUCAAAGAGUCGGAUUGUUUGGGAAUGCAGUCCAAAAUGGGUGGUAAAUUUCAUCUAAAGCUAAAUAUUGGCGAGAGACCGAUAGCGAACAAGUACCGUGAGGGAAAGAUGAAAAGAACUUUGAAAAGAGAGUUAAACAGUACGUGAAAUUGUCAAAAGGGAAGCGUUUGACACCAGUGUUGUUUUUCUGAAAAUCAAUUAAAGAACUGUUUAUGCUAAGCUGUUUAGACUUUAUCAGCUAUCUGUUUAGUUUUGAGCUUUUCUUAAUGCACUUUUCAGUUAACAAGUCAACAUCAAUUUCUUUUGCUGUAAAAAAGCUUGAGGAAGGUGGCUUGAGAUUCGUCUUAAGUGUUUAUAGCCUCUUGCCUAUGCAGUCGGAGAGAUUGAGGUCUGCAGCGUAGAUCCUUCGGGGCUAAAUGCAUUUGUGCUAAGUUAUAGCAUUUUAUAGACAACUUGUUGACUAUGAUUUGUCUUGUAGCUUACUCGCUUAUGUUAUUUUACCUACGCUUAGGAUGUUGAGUCGUAGAGCACGCAG
Molecule: ribosomal RNA, 773 nt
Filed under: uncultured Neocallimastigales
Lineage: Eukaryota; Fungi; Neocallimastigomycota; Neocallimastigomycetes; Neocallimastigales
Description: partial large subunit ribosomal RNA
Rfam family: Eukaryotic large subunit ribosomal RNA
Source: RNAcentral